GCGGGUAUAGUACAGUGGUAGUACACCAGAUUGCCAUUCUGGAGACGAGGGUUCGAUUCCCUUUACCCGCUCAA
This 74-nucleotide transfer RNA is filed under the name Spirochaetia bacterium. Its description in RNAcentral is "tRNA-Gly". It matches the Rfam family "tRNA". From Rfam's summary of the family: Transfer RNA (tRNA) molecules are approximately 80 nucleotides in length. Lineage: Bacteria; Pseudomonadati; Spirochaetota; Spirochaetia. The record is from RNAcentral.